AUUCUUUGUAGUUCACAAGCAUGAUGCUUGGGUUUUCACAUACAUGGAUGACAUGUGCCUCUCUCAAACCUUGUUAUGAUGACAUCAGCACAUUACCCAUCCAACA
Molecule: small nucleolar RNA, 106 nt
Organism: Otolemur garnettii (small-eared galago)
Lineage: Eukaryota; Metazoa; Chordata; Mammalia; Primates; Galagidae
Source: Ensembl